Non-coding RNA from Oryza nivara, 208 nucleotides. The record is from Rfam. NCBI's taxonomy places the organism in Eukaryota, Viridiplantae, Streptophyta, Magnoliopsida, Poales, Poaceae.
AAUAAGUACAGUUUUGCACUGUUCAUGUUUAACUUUUGACCGUUCGUCUUAUUUAAAAUUUUUUUAUGAUUAGUAUUUUUGUUGUUAUUAGAUGAUAAAACAUGAACAGUACUUUAUGUGUGACUAAUUUUUUUCAAAUUUUUCAUAAAUUUUUUAAAUAAGACGAACGGUCGAACGUCUGACACGAUUCCCCACGACUGCACUUAUU